RNAcentral lists this long non-coding RNA (1724 nucleotides) under Homo sapiens (human). Its description in RNAcentral is "synapse stability regulating cerebellar lncRNA". The record is from RNAcentral. Lineage: Eukaryota; Metazoa; Chordata; Mammalia; Primates; Hominidae.
GCGGCAGCAGGGUUGGGCUCUCGCCGUGAGUCGACGAAGGGAGCGCGGGCGCGCGCCCGCGUCCGCGCACUGAGAGUCGCCUCGGCCGCUCGCUUUCUCGACUCCCGCCUCGCGCCUCGAUCCUGUUCCGCCUCCCUCGGCCCUCCUGCCCGCCCCCACUCGUCGGCCCUCAGCAUUGUCUUUGAAUAUUAGCAAAUAAUGGAACAUGGGCCAAGGGUGAACCAUGACGAAUUUGUGUUCCAGCAGCCCUGCUUCUUUAGAAUUGACAGUCUGGCUUCGUGGUUAAUUCACAGCAUCUGAGGAAUACAUCCAAAGAGGGUGAUACUGUGGCAUGAUGGUACCAGGAUUCCAAGUUCAUUCCAGGAAAAAAUCUACAACUUUCAUCAAAUUACUCAGGGAGACUUUAUUCUAAAGAGACUGAAAACGACCAACAUCAAUUUUGACUCCUAUGGGCAUCUGUAAAUAGCUUCAAGGUUUUAAGGUGAAAUGUCAUGUACCAAAAUACACAUUCUGGAGAAGCAGGAAGCUACAGACCAACUUGAGAUGAAAGUCUCAUAUCAAUGUUUUCCCAAGUGUGCUCCUUGGAAUACAGGUUGACAUGAUAUGAUGCCCAGCAAGGGAAACAAAACAUAUUCAUGUUCAAAUUAGUUGGGGAAAUGCUGGACUAAAUAAGGUUUGAUGGGAUUCUUUUUUCUGCAGGACUUCUCAGAAGGGGCUAGAGUAGGCAAAGUUUCCCAGAUUUACCUAAUAAAAGCAUUGUUUCUGUGGGAGUUUCAUUUGUUAUUACAUGUUUCCUGAAUGCAGAUUCAUAGACUAUCCUUUGGGGAACCCUCGUCCUCACGGGAUGUAUGUUCAUGGUGGUGUCUUCGAGUUUGUGCCCUUGUGAAGCAUUCUGGCAGCAAGCAUCUGAACACUUCCAAAAGGGGGCGAUAUUUAGGAGAAAUCGCUCAGCCUGAGUUAGAACAAAUGCAGCUGCUGGUGUCUCUUGGUGCCUGGGAGCCCUAGAGUGUCAGAGGGAGGAGCGUGCACACUGGAACCAGCAGCCUGGUGCUGCGUCUCAGCUCUGUCGCUAACUGGCUAUGCACCUCUGGGCAUGGCACUUAACCCUUCUGAGCCCCAGCCCGCCAUCUGUAAAAAGGGCUUGAUGUGAGGAUUGAAUGAGAUCAUGCAGGGAACACAAUGUCUGGCACUUGGAAGCGUCCACCAUAAAGAGCCAAGGCAGUAGAUGGCCCAGCUGGGUUUGGUCCAGGCAGAGUUUACCCUCUGCCCUGGAGGCUCCAGGAAAUGCUGCCACGUGGCUCCUAUUGCCUUAACCACAUCCGACCUGUUCCUGACAGCUCCCCACAUCUCCAGCUCCUUUGCUGGUGCUCCAGGCACCUCCAAACGUGGCGAGCCCCUCUCCCCUGCCCUCUUGUGGCAGCUGACCUGGCAGGAGUGGGACCAAGACAUCCAAGGCAGCUCCUUUCCACCUGCAUGGGCACUUUCCUCAGGACAUCCUUGCCCCUGGCACCACCUUGGGCCAGCAAGCCACAUGGAAAUGGAUGCAGAGGCACCACUGUUUGCUGACAAUUAUACACUGUCCUUAAGGUCACCCUUGGCGAUCUGUCACCAGGAGCAGACAAACCCACACCUCAACCAUCCCAUCAGAGCUUGUUUCUAUCUGCAUCUGUCAUCGCUGAUCGCAUUUGAAUGGGUUUAGUCUCUAUUUUAAAUAAAAGAUUUAU